GCCGCUCUCUUUAUAGGGCCAGGCUCUUUAUAGGGCCAGGUUCUAUAGGGCCAAGCUCUUUAUGGGGCCAGGCCUUUUAUAGGGCCCGGCUCUUGUAGGAUCAGACCCUUUAUAUGGCCAGGGCCUUUAUAGGGUCAGGCUGUUUAUAGGGCUGCUCUCUUAUAGGGUCAGGCUCUUUAUAGGGCCAAGUUCCCAUAGGGCCCGGCUCUUUAUGGGGUCAGGUUCCUAUAGGGCCAGGCUUUUUAUAGGGCUGUUUAUAGGGUCAGGCUCUUUAUAGGGUCAGGCUCUUUAUAGAGCCAGGCUGUUUAUAGGGCCAGGUUCUUAUAGGAUCAGGCUGUUUAUGGGGCCAGGCUCUUUAUAGGGCCGCUCUCUUAUAGGAUCAGGUUCUUUAUAGGGCCCGGUUCCUAUAGGGUCAGACUGUUUAUAGGGCCAGGCUCUUUAUAUGGCUGUUAUAGGGCCAGGCUCUGUAUAGGGCCAAGUUCCUAUAGGGCCAGGCUGUUUAUAGGAUCAGGCUCUUUAUAGGGCCGUUCUCUUAUAGGCUCUGACCCUUUAUAGGGCUGCUCUCUUAUAGGAUCAGGCUCUUUAUAGGGUCUCGUUCCUAUAGGAUCAGGCUCUUUAUAGGGCCAGGCUCUUUAUAGGGCCAAGUUCCUAUAGAGCCAGGCUCCUUAUAGGGCCAGACUCUUUAUUGGGUCUUAUAGGGUCAGGCUGUUCAUAGGGUCAGGCUGUUUAUAGGGCCAGGCUGUUUAUAGGGUCAGGCUGUUUAUAGGGCCAGGCUGUUUAUAGGGUCAGGCUGUUUAUAGGGCCAGGCUCUUUAUAGGGCCAGGCUGUUUAUAGGGCCAGGCUGUUUAUAGGGCCAGGCUCUUUAUAGGGUCAGGCUGUUUAUAGGGCCAGGCUCUUUAUAGGGUCAGGCUCUUUAUAGGGCCAGGCUGCUUAUAGGGCCAGGCUGCUUAUAGGGCCAGGCUCUUUAUAGGGUCAGGCUCUUUAUAGGGUCAGGUUCCUAUAGGGCCAGGCUCUUUAUAGGGCUGUUAUAGGGCCAGGCUCUUUAUAGGGCCAAGUUCCUAUAGGGCCAGACUCUUUAUAGGGUCAGCCCCUUUAUAGGGCCCGGUUCCUAUAGGGCUUGGCUCUUUAUAGGGCCAAGUUCCUAUAGGGCCAGGCUCUUUAUAGGGCCAGGCUCUUUAUAGGGCCCGGUUCCUAUAGGGCCAGGGUGUUUAUAGGGCCAGGCUCUUUAUAGGGCCAGGUUCUUAUAGGAUUAGGCUGUUUAUAGGGCCCAGCUCUUUAUGGGGUCAGGAUCCUAUAGGGCCAGGCUCUUUAUGGGGCUGUUUAUGGGGCCAGACUCUUUAUAGGGUCUUACAGGGUCAGGCUCUUUAUAGGGCCAGGCUCUUUAUGGGGCUGUUUAUGGGGCCAGACUCUUUAUAGGGUCUUACAGGGUCAGGCUCUUUAUAGGGCCAGGUUCCUAUAGGGUCAGGCUCUUUAUAGGGCCGUUCUCUUAUAGGGCCAGGCUCUUUAUAGGGCCAGGCUCUUUAUAGGGCCGCUCUGUUAUAGGAUCAGGCUCUUUAUAGUGCCAAGUUCCUAUAGGGCCUGGCUCCUUAUAGGGCUGCUCUUUAUAGGGUCAGGCUGUUUAUAGGGCCAGACUCUUUAUAGGGUCUUAAUAGGACCAGACUCUUUAUGGGGCCAGGCUCCUUAUAGGGCCGCUCUCUUAUAGGGCCAGGCUCUUUAUAGGGCCAAGUUCUUAUAGGAUUGGGCUGUUUAUGGGGCCAGGUUCUUUAUAGGGUCAGGCUCUUUAUACGGCCAAGAUCCUAUAGGGUCAGGCUGUUUAUAGGGUCAGGCUCUUUAUAGGGCCUUUAUAUGGCCAGGCUCUUUAUGGGACCAGGUUCUUAUAGGAUCAGACCAGGCCAGGGCGAGGCUUCUUAUAGGGCCAGGCUCUUUAUAGGGCCAGGCUCUUUAUAGGGCCGCUCUCUUAUAGGAUCAGGCUCUUUAUAGCGCCCGGUUCCUAUAGGGCCAGGCUGUUUAUAGGGCCAGGCUCUUUAUAGGGCCAAGUUCCUAUAGGGCCAGGCUCUUUAUAGGGCCAGGCUGUUUAUAGGGCCAAGUUCCUAUAGAGUUAGGCUGUUUAUAGGGCCAAGUUCCUAUAGAGUUAGGCUGUUUAUAGGGCCAGGCUCUUUAUGGGGCCAGGCUCUUUAUAUGGCUGUUAUAGGGCCAGGCUGUUUAUGGGGCCAAGUUCCUAUAGGGCCAGGCUGUUUA
This is a long non-coding RNA of Lagopus muta (rock ptarmigan), 2238 nucleotides long. RefSeq lists it as uncharacterized. The record is from RefSeq and is a predicted model, not a curated record. NCBI's taxonomy places the organism in Eukaryota, Metazoa, Chordata, Aves, Galliformes, Phasianidae. The transcript is spliced from 3 exons.